AUAAGACGCGUUUAAAUAAAUUCAAUACAGAAAGUUGGAAGAGAAAUAUCAACGAUUUUUUUUAACUGGAUGGAUUUAAAAAAAAAAACGGAUAUUCUUGUCUUGUGUGUACAUGUACUUCUUAGCUAGUGUACAUUUAGGGCUGUUAAAAGGUCCACAUGAUUAGCCUAAAGUUGAAUAUUACAAGCAGGCAGUCCCAAAGAAAAUGGUUUAUCAAAUGACACAAGCAGAGUGGAUCCUACACAAGAUCGGAAUAGCACUUGGUAUAGGUGCCUUGCUGGUGUUGGUCGGUUGUUUAUGCUUUUAUUGCCUCGAUCACUGCUUUCAACGACAUCGACGAAAAAAGGCGAAAAAGUUUCAUGACCGUGCCUUAACAGAGUUUCACUUUACUCCUGAAGACGUUUCCGAUGCUGUGAUGAUGAGACCAAUAUCCAAACCUUUUCGUGAAAACCAUAGAAAAACUGUGGUGUUCAGCGACCUGUAUGUCGAAAUGAAGAAUGAUAACGUAACUCUUA
Molecule: long non-coding RNA, 515 nt
Organism: Saccostrea cuccullata (small rock oyster)
Lineage: Eukaryota; Metazoa; Mollusca; Bivalvia; Ostreida; Ostreidae
Exons: 4
Source: RefSeq, a predicted model, not a curated record